This 1461-nucleotide long non-coding RNA is filed under the name Rhinolophus ferrumequinum (greater horseshoe bat). RNAcentral's name for it is "lncRNA (ENSRFEG00010013956.1)". Lineage: Eukaryota; Metazoa; Chordata; Mammalia; Chiroptera; Rhinolophidae. The record is from RNAcentral.
UCGGGGCUGCCCCUGUGGUGCCCUCUCCCAUUUGUGACCUGAGACAGAUAUCUGCCCAGGACUUCCAGCAAUAGUUAAUAUUAACAGAGACAGAAAUAAAGGUAAUGACCAUUGUAGGAGGUGACCCUUAGGGGACAAGAAAGAAGUGGGGGUGAAAUGUGUCCAAGGCACUGCCUGUCCCACACCUGAGGCUACAGAAGUCACUUUUGUCCCCUUGCUCCUCGGGACGGUUCUCCCCGGGGCCAGCAUCACAGCAUGCCACAUUGCCACCCCUAUUCCUCUCUAUUCUUCCCCCUCCCAGCCUGCCGUGGAUGCUCACGUCUGGGUCCACCCUUGCCUCCCACUGUUUCCAGUGCCACCCCAAGUUGGGGCAGCCAGACCCACUGCACAGGAAGUCCUGCCCUAUACAAGCUCUGCUAGAUUCGGCUGGUCCCUCCUGCUACGUCGGGGUGAUGCUCAGCCCCACCCAGCAUCUGUUUGUGGAUGUCUGAGUGUGGCCCCAGCCACCUCUCCAAGCCAGGCUGCUCCGGGGCCCUGCUCCUGCCCAGUGUGUGCCCCAGCAAGCUCCCUCUUAGGGUGAAUUCGCCUGCUUUCUCUCUCUUGUUAAGACCUGGUGGUCCUCAGAAGAAUGGUCUCUGAAAGAUGUCCACAUCCUCCUCCUGAAUCCUGUGACUAUGUAGGUUAUAUAGCAGAGGAGGAUUAAGGUUGCAGAUGGAUUAAGAUUGCUAGUCAGCUCAUUUUCAGAUAGGGAGACUUUCCUGGAUUAUCCUGGUGGGCCCAACGUAAUCACAAGGGUCCUUAACCGUGGAAGCUGGAGGUAGAAGAGGAUGUGAGAGUGACACAGUGAUGUGAUGUGACCAGGAUGAGGUCUGAAGCCACUGGCUUUGAAGAUAGAGGAUGUGGCAGCCUCUGCCAAUGGGAAGGGUGGCGACACGGACCUUCCCUGGAGCCUCAGAGGAGACACAGCCUGCCGGCAGCUGGCUUCAGUCCCAUGACACCCAUUUCUGACUUCAGAUCUCCAGAACUAUAAGAUAGUGAAUUUGUGUGGUUUUAAGCCGCUAAGUGGUGGUGAUUUGUGACAACAGCAAUAGGAACCUAUUGCAGAACCCCCUUCUGAAAUGGUACUCCCUGGAGGCCACCAGCCUCGUCCUUGACUGUGACCUACUUCGGCCCCUGCUGUAGUGGGCUCCCACUGGAAACCACCCUUCCCUGUUGGAUGGCCCACACUGCUCAGCUUCUGUUCUCCUGCCUGAGGGAUUUCCUUUUCUGAGCUCAGGGUCAGGAGCGCCAGCCUCAUGGGUGGGGCCAGAGCACUGUGCUCAGAGGGCCGCAGCCUUGGAGACAGAAGCUCUGCAGUUGCUAUCUAGGAAUUGUGAAUAAUUCCAUGCUUGAACUUGUGCUUUGCAGAUGAAGCCCGAUGGGACACUGGUGCUCAGAGCCUGGGCACCGGCUCUGGAAGGU